AUUCCAUAUUUUUAAUGCUACUACCACUUAUUGGUAAUUACAAAUAUGUAAUUAUCGUUCUAAAGUUAGAAAUUCGAAAUAACAUUCGUCAAUAUAUGAUUCUACGUUUUAUAUAGAGUAGUAAAAAUGAUACAAUGAGUUUCGUUAAAUAACCAAUAAAAAUUUUUGUUCCUUUUUCUUUUUCUUUUUUCUUUUUUCUUUUCUUUUCUUUUUUUUUUUUUUUUUUUUUUUUUUUUUUUUUUUUUUUUUUUUUUUUUUUGUUUUAUUCUUCGCGUGUUCUUUAUCAUAUCCCUGAUCAAAGACAUUCCAAUAUUAUUACAAUAUCCAAUUACAUAUUGAUACACAAGAUAUACAGAUUAUUAUUUAUAACAUUUUGGUUUUCUUAAUUGAGUUAUUCAUUUAGUACAAAUGAUAAGUAAUUAGUAAUAAGUCAUAAAAAAAAAAAAAAAAAAAAACGGUAUUGUAGUAGAAAUAUUAUAAGAAAACAUUUUCUGUUUCAGUGUAGAGUUACUCCUUUUUAUAGACAGUGUCGUACAAAUCCGUACGUCUUUGAGAAAAUGUAGGUAUCUGAGCCCUUACUUCC
This 583-nucleotide unclassified non-coding RNA is filed under the name Bombus terrestris (buff-tailed bumblebee). RNAcentral's name for it is "misc RNA ENSBTSG00005033964.1". Lineage: Eukaryota; Metazoa; Arthropoda; Insecta; Hymenoptera; Apidae. The record is from RNAcentral.